UACGUAGGGUCCGAGCGUUGCCCGGAAUUAUUGGGCGUAAAGAGCUCGUAGGCGGUUUGUCGCGUCUGCUGUGAAAUCCCGAGGCUCAACCUCGGGUCUGCAGUGGGUACGGGCAGACUGGAGUGCGGUAGGGGAGAAUGGAAUUCCUGGUGUAGCGGUGGAAUGCGCAGAUAUCAGGAGGAACACCGAUGGCGAAGGCAGUUCUCUGGGCCGUAACUGACGCUGAGGAGCGAAAGCGUGGGGAGCGAACAGG
This 253-nucleotide ribosomal RNA is filed under the name uncultured bacterium. RNAcentral describes it as "partial 16S ribosomal RNA". It matches the Rfam family "Bacterial small subunit ribosomal RNA", at positions 524 to 776 of the family's 1533-position model. The record is from RNAcentral.